UAAUGCAAUGAAAUGCUCACAAGUGAUAAAUUUAACAAUUACGAAGUGGCAUGGGACAUAGUGUUAGCUUUUUCAGACAAUUAAUUAAACAUUUACCUACUUUGAUUUUGCUGUUUUUGUUUUGUGUUUCAGAACCAGUGUUUUUUUUUGUUUUGUUUUGUUUUUUUUGUCAGCUCUCAAAUUUUUUUUGUGGGACCCUUUAAAAAGCUCACAAGCUGGAUCCUGGAGCUAUGGAGCCUGGCCGAUAAGAUGAUUCUGAUUGCACAGAGCCUAGUGCUUUCUCAAUGAAAAGGGUCCCCCAAGUCCCUAUGGUUGUGUCGUCAGAGCUGAAGCCACGAAGAGAAGCCAUUCCUCAUUACGAAGUGUUUUUUGGGCCAAGCGUACACACUUGUCCUGCUCUAAAUGCUGUUGCUGGCGGGGACCUUUGCCACUCAGUCAACGGACUGAGUCCAGGAGGAUGACCAAAUAAUCCGGGAAGCUCUGAAUUCUCCAUCGUUAAUUCAGAUGGUCCAAUUCUGGUCAUCAGUUCAGGUCGAUCUGAAAUACCAGUGGGCCAGAGAGUGUGAUGAGGGAAAAACUCUUACGGAGAAGAAAAUGGGCCAGGGAAAUGGACUUGCUUGAGCCCAGUCAUGGAAGGAAUUUGGGAUAGAGAAGGCCACUCACGUCAUUAAAAAGCCUAUGGCGUGGCAGAGGCUCUGAUGAAUUUCAUCUGGCCAGUCCAACAUCUUUUCAAGGGGAGCUUGAACUCCAUUUCAUAGAUUGGACCCCUCGGGCUGAAAUAGGCCAAUAUUUGCCCAAAGUGACCCGGUGACAGGAACCCAGUGCUGCCUAAUUCCAAGGCUCUGCUAUGUCUUCCUGCCAUUGCGAUGGAGAGGCAUGCUUACGAUUUUUUGGAGGAAAUUAGCAGCAUGUUUUGAGGUUUGUGCUUGGAAUACCAGCAGGCUUAAGGAGAUUGCAGGAGCAAUGUCUUUUAGGAUUUUCCAUUUGCAGAAGCCACAAUCCUAUAACAAACAGUCGGUAUGAAAGAACUGGAGAGAAGUAAAUUAAGGGCUUACAAGAAGCAAUCAAGCCUUUGUCUAGAGUAGUGGAGCCAAGAACCCAGUUGGCUAACAAAUCCUCGUGGAGCACCUACCUACUCCGUGCAGGGGUCCCUGAGGGAUGAUAACCUCUCAGGCUUGGGUCCUCCGGUGCAGACAGGCACGGAAGUGGAUAGAAGGAGCUCUGGCCUACGAGUCAGAAGAUCAGAAUUUGCAAACUUCUCUUCCACUCCCUGGCCGUGUGGCCUCGGACAAAUGAAUGCGCCUCUCUGAGCCUCGGUUACCGUUUUGUAAGAUGGUGAUGCUAAUUCUUGUUCAAGCCACCUUCGGGCUCGACAUUCCUGUGGAUCCCCGCGGAACUCCGGUGUGUGGUAAACUACUAUCCUCUUUAUGACUGUCCCUUUGGCAGACCCAGUCUGCGGGGGAAGAGAUGAGGAAGCGAGGCCCGGACUUUGGAGAAUCCGAAGCUGAGGAGCCUGGGUCCUCCAGGCUGAGCAGUCUCCUCUCAAAACUGAUGAAAGCAGAAUGGGUUUCAAUUUGCCACAUGCCUUUCAAUCUUCCAAGGAAGGAUGGAAUAAAGGAGGUUGGCUGAUAAUCGAGCCUGGUGCCUGCUGACCUUGGGUGAGACUGUGGAGCCAUGGCACCUCCCCCACACUGCCAUCACUUCGGGAAACCAGCUGGAGUGUCUUUACAUCAGAAGAUGCUCACAGUUAGUGGGCCAGCCAUUCUCCUCUUUGGCAAAUAAGUGGAGAUACCCUUGUACACAUGCAGAGGGGAACGUGCAUAAUAAUGCUCUUGACAGUAUUUUCGUAACGGAGGAAUUUGGACACAAGCCUUGAUGGUCAUCAACUUGAAACCAGACUGCUUCUCCAGACUUUGGCCCCAUGAAUAAAGUGCAGCUACAUGUAUCAACAUGAUUAAAUAGCAAAAAUACAAUUCCGAGUGAAGAAGAGUACGUCUCAGAGAUACAGAAAUCAGUUAUCCAGACCUAUCUGUUAGGUCACGAUCAGUUACCGAGCCCAAGUCCUCGCGUGAAACUCAGCCCAGCAAGAAUUCAAAAUCAUUUUCAUUCACAUAAAGUCACUAAAGGUGUUAAAAGUCUCAUACUACCUUCAAAAGAAACACGUGGCCGGUGUUGAGAGUGGAAAUGUAACAGAAAGCUGAAUAAUGA
This is an RNA transcript of Neofelis nebulosa (Clouded leopard), 2208 nucleotides long. RefSeq lists it as uncharacterized. NCBI's taxonomy places the organism in Eukaryota, Metazoa, Chordata, Mammalia, Carnivora, Felidae. The transcript is spliced from 4 exons. The record is from RefSeq and is a predicted model, not a curated record.